RNAcentral lists this ribosomal RNA (326 nucleotides) under uncultured eukaryote. RNAcentral describes it as "partial 18S ribosomal RNA". It matches the Rfam family "Eukaryotic small subunit ribosomal RNA", at positions 1470 to 1796 of the family's 1831-position model. The record is from RNAcentral.
CCCUUAGAUGUUCUGGGCCGCACGCGCGCUACACUGAUGCAUUCAACAAGCCUAGCCUUGACCGAGAGGUCCGUGUAAUCUUUGAAACUGCAUCGUGAUGGGGCUAGAUUAUUGCAAUUAUUAAUCUUCAACGAGGAAUGCCUAGUAAGCGUGAUUCAUCAAAUCGCGUUGAUUACGUCCCUGCCCUUUGUACACACCGCCCGUCGCUCCUACCGAUUGAAUGUGUUGGUGAGGAGCUCGGAUUGGCAGCAGUUGGUGGUUCGCCACCGGCUAUUGCUGAGAAGUCCUCCAAACCGCCCCAUUUAGAGGAAGGAGAAGUCGUAACA